RNAcentral lists this ribosomal RNA (253 nucleotides) under uncultured bacterium. Its description in RNAcentral is "partial 16S ribosomal RNA". It matches the Rfam family "Bacterial small subunit ribosomal RNA", at positions 524 to 776 of the family's 1533-position model. The record is from RNAcentral.
CACGUAGGGCGCAAGCGUUGUCCGGAAUUAUUGGGCGUAAAGAGCUCGUAGGCGGCUUGUCGCGUCGGCUGUGAAAACCUGGGGCUCAACCCCGGGCCUGCAGCCGAUACGGGCAAGCUAGAAUUCGGUAGGGGAGACUGGAAUUCCUGGUGUAGCGGUGAAAUGCGCAGAUAUCGUAAGGAAGACCAGUGGCGAAGGCGGGUCUCUGGACAGUUCCUGACGCUGAGGCACGAAGGCCAGGGGAGCAAACGGG